UUGUUUGCGGCCGGCCAACAUAGAACAUAGGUGGGCAUUAUGCAAAUGUGUUACUCAGUGACGUGUAGCCAUCACAGAAGUGGGAUUCGACUACUGACGAC
Molecule: long non-coding RNA, 101 nt
Organism: Sinocyclocheilus anshuiensis
Lineage: Eukaryota; Metazoa; Chordata; Actinopteri; Cypriniformes; Cyprinidae
Exons: 3
Source: RefSeq, a predicted model, not a curated record